GAUGAACGCUGGCGGCGUGCCUAAUACAUGCGAGUCGAGCGAACAGACGAGGAGCUUGCUCCUCUGACGUUAGCGGCGGACGGGUGAGUAACACGUGGAUAACCUACCUAUAAGACUGGGAUAACUUCGGGAAACCGGAGCUAAUACCGGAUAAUAUAUUGAACCGCAUGGUUCAAUAGUGAAAGACGGUUUUGCUGUCACUUAUAGAUGGAUCCGCGCCGCAUUAGCUAGUUGGUAAGGUAACGGCUUACCAAGGCAACGAUGCGUAGCCGACCUGAGAGGGUGAUCGGCCACACUGGAACUGAGACACGGUCCAGACUCCUACGGGAGGCAGCAGUAGGGAAUCCUCCGCAAUGGGCGAAAGCUUGACGGAGCAACGCCGCGUGAGUGAUGAAGGUCUUCGGAUCGUAAAACUCUGUUAUUAGGGAAGAACAAAUGUGUAAGUAACUAUGCACGUCUUGACGGUACCUAAUCAGAAAGCCACGGCUAACUACGUG
Molecule: ribosomal RNA, 497 nt
Filed under: uncultured bacterium
Lineage: Bacteria
Description: partial 16S ribosomal RNA
Rfam family: Bacterial small subunit ribosomal RNA
Source: RNAcentral